This 436-nucleotide long non-coding RNA is filed under the name Equus asinus (donkey). RNAcentral's name for it is "lncRNA (ENSEASG00005037340.1)". Lineage: Eukaryota; Metazoa; Chordata; Mammalia; Perissodactyla; Equidae. The record is from RNAcentral.
CUUGUCCAUCAAGAAGACAAGUCUUCUUUCUGUUGGGCUCCGCUAUGGAGGUAGAGUGUGAGAACUACCCCUUUUGGUCUCUUGACUCCAUUUUAACGAGGUUUCGGUUUAUUAGUUUCUACAGUUUCUGAGAUCCCUAUCCAAACGUCCUCUUCUCCCUGAAUAUAAGCGCCAUGCGAGGAGAAGUUUGUAUCUGUCUGUUUUGCUCACUACUGUAUCCCCAGCACCUAGAACAGAGCAUGGCACACAGGCCAAUGGAAGCUUGCUUUGCCAGGUGAGAUGGAAGUGGACUCUCAGAUUGGCACUGAAAAGGAAGAAGAAUGGAGGGGGGGGUCCCAGGGGGGCCACUUACUUCCCAGUGAUUUUCUGGGCCUUUUUCCUCCUCCUUUUCCUCCCAAGUUUCGAAUAAAGACAGUUUCUUCUUUGAGAACGCUUA